RNAcentral lists this ribosomal RNA (301 nucleotides) under uncultured bacterium. Its description in RNAcentral is "partial 16S ribosomal RNA". It matches the Rfam family "Bacterial small subunit ribosomal RNA", at positions 509 to 809 of the family's 1533-position model. The record is from RNAcentral.
CAGUAGCCACGGGAAUACGUAGGUGGCGAGCGUUGUCCGGAAUUAUUGGGCGUAAAGGGAGCGCAGGCGGACAUAUAAGUCCAUCUUAAAAGUGCGGGGCUCAACCCCGUGAGGGGAUGGAAACUGUAUGCCUUGAGUGCAGGAGAGGAAAGCGGAAUUCCCAGUGUAGCGGUGAAAUGCGUAGAUAUUGGGAGGAACACCAGUGGCGAAGGCGGCUUUCUGGACUGUAACUGACGCUGAGGCUCGAAAGCCAGGGGAGCGAGCGGGAUUAGAUACCCCCGUAGUCCCUGUCUCUUAUACA